RNAcentral lists this transfer-messenger RNA (66 nucleotides) under Vibrio cyclitrophicus. Its description in RNAcentral is "partial transfer-messenger RNA". It matches the Rfam family "transfer-messenger RNA", at positions 307 to 374 of the family's 374-position model. Rfam says of the family: Bacterial tmRNA, also known as 10Sa RNA or SsrA, is named for its dual tRNA and mRNA-like properties. Its role is to liberate the mRNA from a stalled ribosome. To accomplish this part of the tmRNA is used as a reading frame that ends in a translation stop signal. Lineage: Bacteria; Pseudomonadati; Pseudomonadota; Gammaproteobacteria; Vibrionales; Vibrionaceae. The record is from RNAcentral.
ACUAAGCAUGUAGUACCAAUGAUGAAUGAUUUUUGGACGCGGGUUCAACUCCCGCCAGCUCCACCA